Long non-coding RNA from Choloepus didactylus (southern two-toed sloth), 506 nucleotides. RefSeq lists it as uncharacterized. NCBI's taxonomy places the organism in Eukaryota, Metazoa, Chordata, Mammalia, Pilosa, Megalonychidae. The record is from RefSeq and is a predicted model, not a curated record. The transcript is spliced from 3 exons.
CUAGAAAAUAAGCUCCAUGAAGGCAGGGAAGCCUUACCCUCAUUUUGUUCACCGCAAGCCUGGCCCAGAGCAGAUACUCAAUGACUACUUGAACGAAUAUGUGAAUGAUUCAGGGUCUGUUUUGGAACACAGCCUUCCAGAAGAUGCUCUUUCCUUAGGCAAGGCUCUGGUGCAGCUCCUGUCACACCCCCAAGGCUCACAGAAGCUCUGAACUCCUAGACCAGGAUGAGAUGCCUGGGAGUGACAUCUGGUUUCCCUGCAGCUACCUGGAGAAGCCAGGUGACGCACCUGGAAAGUGUUUGAUGAUUUUAACUAAUGGGAGACAGAAGAUGAGAGAAAGCAGAUGAAAGAAAGACACAAGACCAAGUAAACUGCCUUGGGGAAAAUCAUCCUCAACAGCAAGUUGUGUUCCUAUUGAAGGAUCCUCCUGUCUGGGCUAAAGAAUAUACAGCUUUUCAUCGUUAACAUGGGAAGAUUGAUGAGAAAUAUUUGCUUACUCUUCAGAU